GGUUAAGAUACACUUCUGAAGUAUACCAGCAAAGACACCUAUUUUGCUUUCUUAAGCAAAGCAGACCAAGUCAUCUGCUCUGCAAGGUAUAAAUGACCUUCUACUGUGGGGAAGAAGAAUGAUGUAUUAUUUUCAGAGGAACAAGAAAAUUCUUAUACUGACCAACUGCUCUGUAGGGUGCUUUGGUCAUUCUUUUUGGAAAAAUAUUUUGAAGCAAUUUGUGCUAAAGAACUCCACUUUAAACAAGGUGAGUGUGAGCUUGAAGAUCUUACUUACAGUCUUACAAAUCCCAAGAUGUUGUAAGCAUCUUUAAAAUAACCUUGAAUCCAGCAUCAUGAAAACAUGAAAUGCAUUUUCUUAACUUCUACACUGAACAGUACAGAGCUGUAGAGGACUGUUUAAUCUUUCUCUUAAGUACCUUUUUCCUGACUUAGAUGAUCUGUGCUUUUUUUUUUCUUUUUUUUUUUUUUUUCCCCAAAUGUAUAUUUUUAUUAAAAAGACCUGAUACAGUAGGUAGAACCACAACUACUCCCAUUUGCAUUUUAUGCCAUUAAUGUAAUAUAAUCGUUGUCAUGAAGAUGGUUUUAGUUUGUUCCCUGCAUAGGGCUGGGACUUUGUUGCCAUGUUGGUGUAUAAUAGAUACCAGUGCUCUGUUCAAUAUUCAAUUGUGAUAUGAAAGUAAGAGCUAGAAAAUUAAAGUAAUUAAAGUUGAAAAUCCCCAAUGCUACUUCAGUUUAACUGAGAUGCUGUUGCUCACUUGUAUUUUGUUUUCCUCCUUGCGGGUUUGAUAAAUGAGGCACUUGCCGCACUAGUUAAAAUUUCGAACUGCGUGUUUUGCUGUGAGGUUUCAGACUAAGUUUAUUUGCUGCCUAGGUAACAAAUCCAGAUGUGACACUUCUCUGUGUAUUUUACUGAAUUAUGUGGAACAAGCUGAGGACAAACACAGGAGACUGUACUCAGUGAAAGUGUAUGCCGUGGUAUCCCGAGUGGACCCUUCCAUUGGGGCCCAGAGUGAAAGAUGAGAAAUAUGUGAAAUUCUGUGAGGGCCUGAAGAAAGAGAUGUUUGGUACGAUGUCUCCUGCUGGUCUGAACUUUACCUUCACUGAAGGAUCUGUUACCUGCAUGUGUCUCUUCUGUGUCCAUGUCAGCUAUACCUGUGCAGAAGUGCUUGCCAUCUUCUGGUGUGUGAAUACAACGAAUUACUAUAUAGCAGAGGAGCUACCAGACCUCGUUUUCCUUGCAGCUAAAGUCCUUUUUACACUACAAAUAAAGAAAUGUUAAGGUAAAUGAAAACAAAGUAUAUCAAGUUUACUGUUACUUUAUUUUUUUAUUUUUUAUUUUUUACUCAUCAUGUAUGUGUAUUUGCUCUAA
Molecule: long non-coding RNA, 1371 nt
Filed under: Anas platyrhynchos platyrhynchos (common mallard)
Lineage: Eukaryota; Metazoa; Chordata; Aves; Anseriformes; Anatidae
Description: lncRNA (ENSAPLG00000016631.1)
Source: RNAcentral